UUCAGGUCAUUGGUGGGCAUAGCAUAUCUGGGAAGGAUAUCCGCAAAAUCCUUGCCCUCCUCUGAAGUGAGAAAGUUGGGAGUAGGCAACAGUACAGCUCACUACUGUUGACCACUGUUUCGUCAAUGCUAAAUGAGAAGGGACCAACUUCCUUUUUUGAUCUCAAUGGGAAUAACUCUGGGAUCGUAAUUAGAACACCUCCAGUGGCCUCUCAAUAAGGGUGGUUCUUUUUCAUGUUGGCUUAGGGUAGAGAACUUCCCAAGGAGUGGAGCAAUGGGUCUUUUCAGUUUACUUACAGAAAAUGGUAGGGGGUGUGUGGCUUUGGUUGCAAGGGACAAGCUUAUUUAUGAGACGUUAAAUCUGAAGCGACAAUGUGUCCCACUGCAUGUUAAUCUAGUUAGAAAAAAAUGGUAUUUUCUUUGUAUAACUCAUAGCAU
Quercus lobata is the source of this 437-nucleotide long non-coding RNA. RefSeq lists it as uncharacterized. The record is from RefSeq and is a predicted model, not a curated record. The transcript is spliced from 3 exons. NCBI's taxonomy places the organism in Eukaryota, Viridiplantae, Streptophyta, Magnoliopsida, Fagales, Fagaceae.